Molecule: ribosomal RNA, 360 nt
Filed under: Desmoscolecidae sp. 716_8-1500_Q
Lineage: Eukaryota; Metazoa; Nematoda; Chromadorea; Desmoscolecida; Desmoscolecidae
Description: SSU rRNA
Rfam family: Eukaryotic small subunit ribosomal RNA
Source: RNAcentral
UGCAUGUCUUAGCACAAGCCGAACAUGGUGAAGCCGCGAAUGGCUCAUUACAACAGCCUUUGUUUAUUUGAUCUUGAAAUCCUACUUGGAUGACUGUGGCAAUUCUAGAGCUAAUACACGCCAUGAAACUCGAAACGACCGUUUCGAGUGCAUUUAUUAGUACAAAACCAACCGGGCUCGUCCCGUACCCUGGUGAAUCUGAAUAACUGAGCCGAUCGCACGGUCUUUGCACCGGCGACGUAUCUUUCAAGUGUCUGCCCUAUCAACUUUCGAUGGUAGUUUAUAUGACUACCAUGGUUAUAACGGGUAACGGAGAAUAAGGGUUCGACUCCGGAGAAGCAGCCUGAGAAACGGCUACUA